RNAcentral lists this ribosomal RNA (468 nucleotides) under uncultured bacterium. RNAcentral describes it as "partial 16S ribosomal RNA". It matches the Rfam family "Bacterial small subunit ribosomal RNA", at positions 28 to 507 of the family's 1533-position model. The record is from RNAcentral.
GACGAACGCUGGCGGCGUGCUUAACGCAUGCAAGUCGAACGGAAAGGCCCUGCUUUUGUGGGGUGCUCGAGUGGCGAACGGGUGAGUAACCCGUGAGUAACCUGCCCUUGACUUUGGGAUAACUUCAGGAAACUGGGGCUAAUACCGGAUAGGAGCUCCUGCUGCAUGGUGGGGGUUGGAAAGUUUCGGCGGUUGGGGAUGGACUCGCGGCUUAUCAGCUUGUUGGUGGGGUAGUGGCUUACCAAGGCUUUGACGGGUAGCCGGCCUGAGAGGGUGACCGGCCACAUUGGGACUGAGAUACGGCCCAGACUCCUACGGGAGGCAGCAGUGGGGAAUAUUGCACAAUGGGCGGAAGCCUGAUGCAGCAACGCCGCGUGCGGGAUGACGGCCUUCGGGUUGUAAACCGCUUUCGCCUGUGACGAAGCGUGAGUGACGGUAAUGGGUAAAGAAGCACCGGCUAACUACGUG